UGGGGAAUAUUGGACAAUGGGCGCAAGCCUGAUCCAGCCAUGCCGCGUGAGUGAUGAAGGCCCUAGGGUUGUAAAACUCUUUCACCGGUGAAGAUAACGACGGUAACCGGAGAAGAAGCCCCGGCUAACUUCGUGCCAGCAGCCGCGGUAAUACGAAGGGGGCUAGCGUUGUUCGGAAUCACUGGGCGUAAAGCGCGCGUAGGCGGAUUGGUCAGUCAGGGGUGAAAUCCCGGGGCUCAACCCCGGAACUGCCUUUGAUACUGCCAGUCUUGAGUUCGGGAGAGGUGAAUGGAAUUCCGAGUGUAGAGGUGAAAUUCGUAGAUAUUCGGAAGAACACCAGUGGCGAAGGCGAUUCACUGGCCCGAUACUGACGCUGAGGUGCGAAAGCGUGGGGAGCAAACAGGAUUAGAUACCCCCGUAGUCC
RNAcentral lists this ribosomal RNA (424 nucleotides) under uncultured prokaryote. RNAcentral's name for it is "bacterial SSU rRNA". It matches the Rfam family "Bacterial small subunit ribosomal RNA", at positions 355 to 796 of the family's 1533-position model. The record is from RNAcentral.